UGCGGAGGGGGCUAGCGUUGUUCGGAAUUACUGGGCGUAAAGCGCACGUAGGCGGCUUUGUAAGUUAGAGGUGAAAGCCCGGAGCUCAACUCCGGAAUUGCCUUUAAGACUGCAUCGCUUGAACAUCGGAGAGGUAAGUGGAAUUCCGAGUGUAGAGGUGAAAUUCGUAGAUAUUCGGAAGAACACCAGUGGCGAAGGCGACUUACUGGACGAUUGUUGACGCUGAGGUGCGAAAGCGUGGGGAGCAAACAGG
Molecule: ribosomal RNA, 253 nt
Filed under: uncultured bacterium
Lineage: Bacteria
Description: partial 16S ribosomal RNA
Rfam family: Bacterial small subunit ribosomal RNA
Source: RNAcentral